AGUGAAUAGUGAAUGAUUGCUUGAUUCCGUUUGGCCCCAAAUCUUUGCCCUUUCCUGGUUUUCACCUAGUCUGGGGAGCUGCAGCUGAAAGCAGAAUCCCUGGGCCUUCCUGGUGGAAAAGUCUCCCUGGGCUGUGCUGGUGAGAGCCCCUGGGUGAGAGGCCUUAGCAGUGCCAAGGCCUCCCAGCUUCUGCCUGCUCAGGGAACCCCUGCCCUCACCCCUGCCUGCCGCAGCCAUCCCUAGUGGCCACAUAUAGUCCCAGAAGAUGCAGGGAGGGUUUCGCUGCAGAAUAAACAUAUAGGCUGUACAUCCAGUGAUUCAGAAGAUCCUACUGUGCUGGCCUCCCUCUUCCCCAAACCAUGCUGUUGCCAUAGCAACAGUUGCCAAACUAGAGCUUGCUGAGGGCAUCCCAAUUAACCCCUUCCUGGUGCACAGGGCCCUCAGUA
This 446-nucleotide long non-coding RNA is filed under the name Homo sapiens (human). RNAcentral's name for it is "non-protein coding lnc-IRF2BPL-3:1". The record is from RNAcentral. Lineage: Eukaryota; Metazoa; Chordata; Mammalia; Primates; Hominidae.